GGCUCAGGAUGAACGCUGGCGGUCUGCUUACACAUGCAAGUCGAACGGACAUCUUCGGAUGUUAGUGGCGGACGGGUGAGUAACGCGUGAGAAUCUGCCCUUAGGAUGGGGAUAACGACUGGAAACGGUCGCUAAAACCCGAUGUGCCGAGAGGUGAAAUAUUUAUAGCCUGAGGAUGAGCUCGCGUCAGAUUAGCUAGUUGGUGGGGUAAUGGCUCACCAAGGCGACGAUCUGUAGCUGGUCUGAGAGGAUGAUCAGCCACACUGGAACUGAGACACGGUCCAGACUCCUACGGGAGGCAGCAGUGGGGAAUUUUCCGCAAUGGGCGAAAGCCUGACGGAGCAAGACCGCGUGGGGGAUGAAGGUUUGUGGAUUGUAAACCCCUUUUGUCAGGGAAGAAUAACUGACGGUACCUGACGAAUAAGCCUCGGCUAACUCCGUGCCAGCAGCCGCGGUAAUACGGAGGAGGCAAGCGUUAUCCGGAAUUAUUGGGCGUAAAGCGUCCGUAGGUGGUUAUUCAAGUCUGUUGUUAAAGAGUGGGGCUUAACCUCAUAAAGGCAAUGGAAACUGAAGGACUUGAGUGCGGUAGGGGUAGAGGGAAUUCCCAGUGUAGCGGUGAAAUGCGUAGAUAUUGGGAAGAACACCGGUGGCGAAAGCGCUCUACUGGACCUGCACUGACACUGAGGGACGAAAGCUAGGGGAGCGAAAGGGAUUAGAUACCCCUGUAGUCCUAGCCGUAAACGAUGGAUACUAGGUGUUGCGCGUAUCGACCCGUGCAGUACCGUAGCUAACGCGUUAAGUAUCCCGCCUGGGGAGUACGCUCGCAAGAGUGAAACUCAAAG
RNAcentral lists this ribosomal RNA (842 nucleotides) under uncultured bacterium. Its description in RNAcentral is "bacterial SSU rRNA". It matches the Rfam family "Bacterial small subunit ribosomal RNA", at positions 21 to 906 of the family's 1533-position model. The record is from RNAcentral.